UACGGGGGGGGCAAGCGUUGUUCGGAAUUACUGGGCGUAAAGGGCUCGUAGGCGGCCCACUAAGUCCGACGUGAAAUCCCCAGGCUUAACUUGGGAACUGCGUCGGAUACUGGUGGGCUUGAAUCCGGGAGAGGGAUGCGGAAUUCCAGGUGUAGCGGUGAAAUGCGUAGAUAUCUGGAGGAACACCGGUGGCGAAGGCGGCAUCCUGGACCGGCAUUGACGCUGAGGAGCGAAAGCCAGGGGAGCAAACGGG
This 253-nucleotide ribosomal RNA is filed under the name uncultured bacterium. RNAcentral's name for it is "partial 16S ribosomal RNA". It matches the Rfam family "Bacterial small subunit ribosomal RNA", at positions 524 to 776 of the family's 1533-position model. The record is from RNAcentral.